UUAUACAGUGGAGUGCAUGUGGAAGUAAACAAUUGGAUAUGUUAAAUAAGUGGUGAGUCAACUAGCGGAACCGUGGGCGUGUGGAUUGUCCUAACAGCCGGCGGACGAAUACAAACAUAUAUUGAUCGGCGCACGAUUAUUUUCUGUACUGUGAAUUUUGGUCAAAAUGGAAAAUGAAAUGGAUAGAGGACCGACAGAUUCCGACGAUUACAACUUACAUGACGAAAAUGUGCAGUUGUUUGAGACUGUGGUUCGGUACAGCAGACUUGCAACCCGAAAGCAACCGGAAACACUCUUGCUCUUUGGAUUAUCGGGUUCGGGAAAGACCUCUAUUGUUAACACGAUCUUCAAUGAAUUGACUGGUAUACCUGAAUCAGCUUUACAGGCUGGCUCUGGUAGCACCCAGUCUAAAACACUUGACUUCAAGUGGUAUGUCAAUUGUGGGAUACUCCAGGAAAAUAUAAUCGAUUU
This is a long non-coding RNA of Mya arenaria, 471 nucleotides long. RefSeq lists it as uncharacterized. The transcript is spliced from 5 exons. The record is from RefSeq and is a predicted model, not a curated record. Lineage: Eukaryota; Metazoa; Mollusca; Bivalvia; Myida; Myidae.